This 497-nucleotide ribosomal RNA is filed under the name uncultured bacterium. Its description in RNAcentral is "partial 16S ribosomal RNA". It matches the Rfam family "Bacterial small subunit ribosomal RNA", at positions 28 to 507 of the family's 1533-position model. The record is from RNAcentral.
GAUGAACGCUGGCGGCGUGCCUAAUACAUGCAAGUCGAGCGAACAGACGAGGUGCUUGCUCCUCUGACGCUAGCGGCGAACGGGUGAGUAACACGUGGAUAACCUCCCUAUAAUACUGGGAUAACUUCCGGAAACCGGAGCAAAUACCGGAUAAUUCAUUGAAUUGAAUGGUUUAUUCGUGAAAGACGGUUUUGCUGUCAGUUAUGGAUGUUUCUGCGGCGAUUUAGUUAGUUGGUAAGGUAACGGCUUACGCAGGCGACGAUGCGUAGCCGACCUGAGAGGGAGAACGCCCAGACUGGAGGUGAGACACGGUCCAGACUCCUGCGGGAGGCAGCAGUAGGGAAUCUUACGCGAUGGACGAAAGCCGAACGGAGCAACGCCGCGUGAGUGAUGAAGGUGUACGGACGGUAGAACGCUGUAAUUAGGGAGGAAGAAAUGUGUAAGUAACUAUGCACAACUUGACGGUACCUAAUCAGAAAGCCACGGCUAACUACGUG